Molecule: ribosomal RNA, 773 nt
Filed under: uncultured bacterium
Lineage: Bacteria
Description: bacterial SSU rRNA
Rfam family: Bacterial small subunit ribosomal RNA
Source: RNAcentral
GAGUUUGAUCCUGGCUCAGAUUGAACGCUGGCGGCAUGCCUUACACAUGCAAGUCGAACGGCAGCACGGGAGCAAUCCUGGUGGCGAGUGGCGAACGGGUGAGUAAUACAUCGGAACGUGCCCAGUAGUGGGGGAUAACCCGGCGAAAGCCGGACUAAUACCGCAUACGACCUACGGGUGAAAGCAGGGGAUCGCAAGACCUUGCGCUAUCGGAGCGGCCGAUGUCAGAUUAGCUUGUUGGUGGGGUAAAAGCCUACCAAGGCGACGAUCUGUAGCUGGUCUGAGAGGACGACCAGCCACACUGGGACUGAGACACGGCCCAGACUCCUACGGGAGGCAGCAGUGGGGAAUUUUGGACAAUGGGCGCAAGCCUGAUCCAGCCAUGCCGCGUGCGGGAAGAAGGCCUUCGGGUUGUAAACCGCUUUUGUCAGGGAAGAAACGCUCCGGGCUAAUACCUUGGAGUAAUGACGGUACCUGAAGAAUAAGCACCGGCUAACUACGUGCCAGCAGCCGCGGUAAUACGUAGGGUGCAAGCGUUAAUCGGAAUUACUGGGCGUAAAGCGUGCGCAGGCGGCUUUGCAAGGCAGAUGUGAAAUCCCCGGGCUUAACCUGGGAACUGCAUUUGUGACUGCAUGGCUGGAGUGCGGCAGANGGGGAUGGAAUUCCGCGUGUAGCAGUGAAAUGCGUAGAUAUGCGGAGGAACACCGAUGGCGAAGGCAAUCCCCUGGGCCUGCACUGACGCUCAUGCACGAAAGCGUGGGGAGCAAACAGGA